Molecule: ribosomal RNA, 495 nt
Filed under: uncultured bacterium
Lineage: Bacteria
Description: partial 16S ribosomal RNA
Rfam family: Bacterial small subunit ribosomal RNA
Source: RNAcentral
GACGAACGCUGGCGGCGUGCCUAAUACAUGCAAGUAGAACGCUGAAGGAGGAGCUUGCUUCUCUGGAUGAGUUGCGAACGGGUGAGUAACGCGUAGGUAACCUGCCUGGUAGCGGGGGAUAACUAUUGGAAACGAUAGCUAAUACCGCAUAACAGUAGAUAUCGCAUGAUAUCUACUUGAAAGGUGCAAUUGCAUCACUACCAGAUGGACCUGCGUUGUAUUAGCUAGUUGGUGAGGUAACGGCUCACCAAGGCGACGAUACAUAGCCGACCUGAGAGGGUGAUCGGCCACACUGGGACUGAGACACGGCCCAGACUCCUACGGGAGGCAGCAGUAGGGAAUCUUCGGCAAGAGAUGGAAGUCUGACCGAGCAACGCCGCGUGAGUGAAGAAGGUUUUCGGAUCGUAAAGCUCUGUUGUAAGAGAAGAACGAGUGUGAGAGUGGAAAGUUCACACUGUGACGGUAUCUUACCAGAAAGGGACGGCUAACUACGUG